UGAAAAUCAGCAGUGGGAGAAUGAAGAAAUUGGAGUCAAGACAGGGUCCAGUAGAGACAGAGAAAAAAAACCCACUGUUUUGGAUUGUUCUUUCACAUCCUAAGCAAUCAUGAAUGUUACAGAACUAGAAUCUGGACUUCUUUUAGCUACAUGCUCAAGCCCUUUGGAUUGAAACUCUUGCCUGGAGCAUUAAGAACUUGGGGGAGAAAUCACUACUCACUGCUUUGCUCGCAAUUCUCAUUUGGACUAGCGCUUGCAGAAACUGAGCUGAACUUUCCUCUCUGUUAUUGCAUCUGUAAGGUAAUUGCCUAAACUUGUUGAGCCAAUCGGAAUUGCUGUUGUUGACUUUUGCAAACAUGAAGAAUCCGAUGAAGCAAUUUGUAAGCCAUAUGUGGUACAUCCCUCUUUCCCCACUCAAAGUCAUAU
Molecule: long non-coding RNA, 426 nt
Organism: Pan paniscus (pygmy chimpanzee)
Lineage: Eukaryota; Metazoa; Chordata; Mammalia; Primates; Hominidae
Source: Ensembl